Molecule: ribosomal RNA, 405 nt
Filed under: uncultured bacterium
Lineage: Bacteria
Description: partial 16S ribosomal RNA
Rfam family: Bacterial small subunit ribosomal RNA
Source: RNAcentral
GAUGAACGCUGGCGGCGUGCCUAAUACAUGCAAGUCGAGCGAAGCGGGGACGGGUGAGUAACACGUGGAUAACCUCCUAUAAGACUGGGAUAACUUCGGGAAACCGGAGCUAAACCGGAUACUUAGAGAUGGAUCUGCGCUGCAUUAGCUAGUUGUUAAGGUAACGGCUUGCCAAGUCAACGAUGCAUAGCCGACCUGAGAGGGUGCACGGAAAAACAGGAACUGAAACACGGUCCAGACUCCUACGGCAGGCGGCAGUAGGGAAUCAUCCGCAAUGGGCGAAAGCCUGGCAGAGCAACGCCGCGUGAGUGAUGAAGAUCUUCGGAUCGUAAAACUCUGUUAUUAGGGAAGCGCUACCUACUCAGAAAGCCACGGCUAACUACGUGCCAGCAGACGCGGUAAUAC